Molecule: ribosomal RNA, 440 nt
Filed under: uncultured bacterium
Lineage: Bacteria
Description: bacterial SSU rRNA
Rfam family: Bacterial small subunit ribosomal RNA
Source: RNAcentral
AACGCGAAGAACCUUACCCAGGCUCGAAAUACAGGUGACAACCCUUGAAAGAGGGCUUUUCGCAAGGACAGCUGUAUAGGUGCUGCAUGGCUGUCGUCAGCUCGUGCCGUGAGGUGUUGGGUUAAGUCCCGCAACGAGCGCAACCCUUAUCGUUAGUUGCCAACACGCAAGGUGGGGACUCUAACGAGACUGCCUAGGUUAACUAGGAGGAAGGCGAGGAUGACGUCAAGUCCGCAUGGCCUUUAUGUCUGGGGCUACACACGUGCUACAAUGGUCGGUACAGAAGGCAGCAAGACCGCGAGGUGGAGCAAAUCCUAUAAAACCGGCCUCAGUUCAGAUUGGAGUCUGCAACUCGACUCCAUGAAGUUGGAAUUGCUAGUAAUGACGUGUCAGCAACAACGUCGUGAAUACGUUCCCGGGCCUUGUACACACCGGUACUA